RNAcentral lists this ribosomal RNA (497 nucleotides) under uncultured bacterium. RNAcentral's name for it is "partial 16S ribosomal RNA". It matches the Rfam family "Bacterial small subunit ribosomal RNA", at positions 28 to 507 of the family's 1533-position model. The record is from RNAcentral.
GAUGAACGCUGGCGGCGUGCCUAAUACAUGCAAGUCGAGCGAACGGACGAGAAGCUUGCUUCUCUGAUGUUAGCGGCGGACGGGUGAGUAACACGUGGAUAACCUACCUAUAAGACUGGGAUAACUUCGGGAAACCGGAGCUAAUACCGGAUAAUAUUUUGAACCGCAUGGUUCAAAAGUGAAAGACGGUCUUGCUGUCACUUAUAGAUGGAUCCGCGCUGCAUUAGCUAGUUGGUAAGGUAACGGCUUACCAAGGCAACGAUGCAUAGCCGACCUGAGAGGGUGAACGCCCACACUGGGACUGAGACACGGUCCAGACUCCUACAGGAGGCAGCGGUAGGGAAUCUUCCGCGAUGGGCGGAAUCCUGCCGGAGCAGCGCCGGGUGAAUGAUGAAGGUCUGCGGGUCGUAAGACGCUGUUAUUGGUGUAAACCAUUUGUGUAAGGAACUGAGCACAUCUUGACGGUACCUAAACAGAAAGCCACGGCUAACUACGUG